Molecule: ribosomal RNA, 358 nt
Filed under: Haptophyta environmental samples
Lineage: Eukaryota; Haptophyta
Description: SSU rRNA
Rfam family: Eukaryotic small subunit ribosomal RNA
Source: RNAcentral
UAGCGUAUAUUAAAGUUGUUGCAGUUAGAACGCUCGUAGUCGGAUUUCGGGGCGGGCCGACCGGUCUGCCGAUGGGUACGCACUGGUCGGCGCGUCCUUCCUUCCGGAGACCGUGCCUACUCUUAACUGAGCGGGGGCGGGAGACGGAACGUUUACUUUGAAAAAAUCAGAGUGUUUCAAGCAGGCAGUGCGCUCUUGCAUGGAUUAGCAUGGGAUAAUGAAAUAGGACUUUGGUGCUAUUUUGUUGGUUUCGAACACCGAAGUAAUGAUUAAAAGGGACAGUCAGGGGCACUCGUAUUCCGCCGAGAGAGGUGAAAUUCUCAGACCAGCGGAAGACGAACCACUGCGAAAGCAUUUG